GCGCAGCAGUCGAGAAUCCUUCGCAAUGCGGGAAACCGCGACGAGGGGACUCCCAGUGCCUACGCUCAGCGUAGGCUGUUCCCGAGCCUAGAAAGCUCGGGGAGUAAGGGCUGGGUAAGACGGGUGCCAGCCGCCGCGGUAAUACCCGCAGCCCGAGUGGUGGCCACUAUUAUUGGGCCUAAAGCGUCCGUAGCCGGCCCGGUAAAUGCCUGGGUAAAUCGUGAGGCCUAACCUCACGAAUUCCGGGUAGACUGCCGGGCUAGGGACCGGAGGAGGGAGAGGGGUACUCCAGGGGUAGGGGUGAAAUCCUGUAAUCCCUGGAGGACCACCGGUGGCGAAGGCGCUCUCCUAGGACGGGUCCGACGGUGAGGGACGAAAGCCAGGGGAGCGAACCGGAUUAGAUACCCGCGUAGU
Molecule: ribosomal RNA, 414 nt
Filed under: uncultured microorganism
Description: bacterial SSU rRNA
Rfam family: Archaeal small subunit ribosomal RNA
Source: RNAcentral